RNAcentral lists this ribosomal RNA (461 nucleotides) under uncultured Sphingobacteriales bacterium. Its description in RNAcentral is "bacterial SSU rRNA". It matches the Rfam family "Bacterial small subunit ribosomal RNA", at positions 920 to 1382 of the family's 1533-position model. Lineage: Bacteria; Pseudomonadati; Bacteroidota; Sphingobacteriia; Sphingobacteriales. The record is from RNAcentral.
CCCGCACAAGCGGAGGAGCAUGUGGUUUAAUUCGAUGAUACGCGAGGAACCUUACCUGGGCUCGAACGUAAGAUGACUGUAGGUGAAAGCUUACAUCUCUUCGGAGCAUUUUACGAGGUGCUGCAUGGUUGUCGUCAGCUCGUGCCGUGAGGUGUCGGGUUAAGUCCCAUAACGAGCGCAACCCCUACCCUUAGUUGCCAUCAGGUUAAGCUGGGGACUCUAAAGGAACUGCCUACGCAAGUAGUGAGGAAGCGGGGAUGACGUCAAAUCAGCACGGCCCUUACGUCCAGGGCUACACACGUGCUACAAUGGCCGAUACAGAGGGCAGCUACCUGGUGACAGGAUGCAAAUCUCCAAAGUCGGUCUCAGUUCGGAUCGGAGUCUGCAACCCGACUCCGUGAAGUUGGAUUCGCUAGUAAUCGCGCAUCAGCCAUGGCGCGGUGAAUACGUUCCCGGGCCUU